GCGUCUCAAUCGCUGAAUUCCGUAGGAAACGGAAGCGGGGGAACCAAUGAAGCGAAUGGAACUGAGUAGAAAGUCAGCAGCCACCGUUCGCAUGGGGUGAAUCCGGCACAGGAUUGCUGUUCCUGGCUGGUAGGGCGACUCUUCGCGCCCGAAUCCGUCAGCUAACCUCGUAAGCGUACGGGAGAGGCGCG
This 191-nucleotide small RNA is filed under the name Paenibacillus alvei. RNAcentral's name for it is "ydaO-yuaA". It matches the Rfam family "c-di-AMP riboswitch aptamer (ydaO/yuaA leader)". From Rfam's summary of the family: This family represents a conserved RNA structure found upstream of the ydaO and yuaA genes in Bacillus subtilis and related genes in other bacteria. The ydaO/yuaA element is thought to act as a genetic "off" switch for the ydaO and yuaA genes in its native state. It is believed that the element may be triggered during osmotic shock leading to activation of ydaO, a predicted amino acid transporter gene, and members of the yuaA-yubG operon which code for KtrA and KtrB K+ transporters. Lineage: Bacteria; Bacillati; Bacillota; Bacilli; Caryophanales; Paenibacillaceae. The record is from RNAcentral.